UGGGGGAUAUUGCACAAUGGGCGAAAGCCUGAUGCAGCGACGCCGCGUGGGUGAUGAAGGCCGUCGGGUUGUAAACUUCUUUUGCUCUGAACAAGGCAUGCUAAUGGGUGUGUUGAGUGUAGGGGUUGAUUAGCGCCGGCUAACUACGUGCCAGCAGCCGCGGUAAUACGUAGGGCGCGAGCGUUUUCCGGAAUUAUUGGGCGUAAAGGGCUUGUAGGUGGCUGGUUGCGUCUGUCGUGAAAGCUCAUGGCUUAACUGUGGGUUUGCGGUGGGUACGGGCUGGCUUGAGUGCAGUAGGGGAGGCUGGAAUUCCUGGUGUAGCGGUGGAAUGCGCAGAUAUCAGGAGGAAUACCGGUGGCGAAGGCGGGUCUCUGGGCUGUUACUGACACUGAGGAGCGAAAGCAUGGGGAGCGAACAGG
RNAcentral lists this ribosomal RNA (419 nucleotides) under bacterium. RNAcentral describes it as "partial 16S ribosomal RNA". It matches the Rfam family "Bacterial small subunit ribosomal RNA", at positions 355 to 776 of the family's 1533-position model. The record is from RNAcentral.